This 957-nucleotide non-coding RNA is filed under the name Sudis atrox (fierce pike smelt). RNAcentral describes it as "12S ribosomal RNA". It matches the Rfam family "Bacterial small subunit ribosomal RNA". The record is from RNAcentral. Lineage: Eukaryota; Metazoa; Chordata; Actinopteri; Aulopiformes; Paralepididae.
UAAAAGCUUGGUCCUGGCUUUACUGUCGCCUUUAGCCGAACUUAUACAUGCAAGUCUCCGCACCCCUGUGAGGAUGCCCUCAGCUCCCUGUUGGGAGCGAGGAGCUGGUAUCAGGCACGCUUAUUAAGCACUAUGCCCAAAACGCCUUGCUAAGCCACACCCCCAAGGGUAUUCAGCAGUGAUAGAUUUUAAGCAAUAAGUGAAAACUUGACUUAGUCAAAGCUAACUUAGGGCCGGUCAACCUCGUGCCAGCCACCGCGGUUAUACGAAGGGCCCAAGCUGACAGACACCGGCGUAAAGCGUGGUUACGGAUCAACCCAACUAAAGUCAAACAUCCCCCGUACUGUUAUACGCGCCCGGAGAUAGGAUGCCCCACUACGAAAGUGACUUUAAUACCCCUCCCGAAUCCACCACAGCUAAGAAACAAACUGGGAUUAGAUACCCCACUAUGCCUAGCCGUAAACUUUGAUAGUAUUAUACACCCACUAUCCGCCCGGGAACUACGAGCAUUAGCUUCAAACCCAAAGGACUUGGCGGUGCUUCAAACCCCCCUAGAGGAGCCUGUUCUAGAACCGAUAACCCCCGUUCAACCUCACCACCCCUAGCCUUAUUCCGCCUAUAUACCGCCGUCGUCAGCUUACCCUGUGAAGGCCCCAUAGUAAGCAAAAUGGGCACAACCCAAAACGUCAGGUCGAGGUGUAGCGCAUGAGGUGGGAAGAAAUGGGCUACAUUCUCUUAUUUAGAGAACACGAAGGCCGUGAUGAAACGCACACCAGAAGGCGGAUUUAGCAGUAAGAAGGAAAAACGAGAGUCCUCCUGAAGCCGGCUAUGAAGCGCGCACACACCGCCCGUCACUCUCCCCAAAAUUUUACUCUUCAAGUUAAUAAAAAAUUAUUUAAAUGAAGGGGAGGCAAGUCGUAACAUGGUAAGUGUACCGGAAGGUGCACUUGGAUAAAC